ACCAUCCUUUUCUUGGGGUUGCGCUACUGUCCAAUGAACACAGAGUGAGGGCAGUACUGCUAACGCCUAAACAACACACUCGCAUCAACUGAAGCUCUGCUUUACGUUGGUGCAAUUUUUGGAAAA
Small nuclear RNA from Callithrix jacchus (white-tufted-ear marmoset), 126 nucleotides. Lineage: Eukaryota; Metazoa; Chordata; Mammalia; Primates; Cebidae. The record is from Ensembl.